This 156-nucleotide ribosomal RNA is filed under the name uncultured archaeon. RNAcentral describes it as "partial 16S ribosomal RNA". It matches the Rfam family "Archaeal small subunit ribosomal RNA", at positions 319 to 477 of the family's 1478-position model. The record is from RNAcentral.
UCCCUACGGGGUGCACCAGGCGCGAAACCUCUGCAAUAGGCGAAAGCUUGACAGGGUUACUCUGAGUGAUUUCCGUUAAGGAGAUCUUUUGGCACCUCUAAAAAUGGUGCAGAAUAAGGGGUGGGCAAGUCUGGUGUCAGCCGCCGCGGUAAUACA